Molecule: transfer RNA, 67 nt
Filed under: Pelodytes ibericus (Iberian parsley frog)
Lineage: Eukaryota; Metazoa; Chordata; Amphibia; Anura; Pelodytidae
Also listed under: 1 other name
Description: tRNA-Ser
Source: RNAcentral
GGGAUUGACUGGGUAAACGAGAACUGCUAAUUACUCGCCCCCGCGGUUCAAUUCCGCGGCUUUCCCG